GGUUCGGGCGGCGGGGGCGGGGCCGGGGUGGUGCCGGGCUGCAGCGGGCCGGGCAAGAUGGCUGCCGUGGAGGCCGAGAUCGGGCCGUUCACCCUGGAGUCGCUGCCCACCGACCCCCUUCUGCUCAUCUUAUCCUUCGUGGACUACAGGGACCUAAUCAAUUGUUGCCAUGUCAGUCGAAGACUCAACCAGCUCUCAACUCAUGAUCCUUUGUGGAGAAGACAUUGCAAAAAGUACUGGCUGAUAACCGAGGAAGAGAAAUCCCGGAAGAAACAGUGCUGGAGAUCUCUCUUCAUCUCUACUUACUCAGAUGUAGGAAGAUACAUUGACCAUUAUGCUGCUAUUAAAAAGGCCUGGGAUGACCUCAAGAAGUACUUGGAGCCCAGGUGUCCUCGGAUGGUUUUAUCUCUGAAAGAAGGCGCACGUGAGGAAGACCUGGAUGCUGUGGAAGCUCAGAUUGGUUGCAAGCUCCCUGAUGACUAUCGCUGUUCAUACCGGAUUCACAAUGGGCAGAAGUUAGUGGUUCCAGGGUUGCUGGGAAGUAUGGCACUGUCCAAUCACUACCGCUCUGAAGAUUUACUAGAUGUCGAUACUGCUGCCGGAGGAUUUCAGCAGAGACAGGGACUGAAAUACUGCCUCCCUUUAACCUUCUGCAUUCACACGGGCUUGAGUCAGUACAUAGCUGUGGAAGCUGCAGAGGGCCGGAAUAAAAACGAAGUGUUCUACCAAUGUCCAGACCAAAUGGCUCGUAAUCCUGCUGCUAUUGACAUGUUUAUCAUAGGUGCUACUUUUACUGACUGGUUUACAUCCUAUGUCAACAAUGUUGUAUCAGGUGGCUACCCCAUCAUCAGAGACCAGAUUUUCAGAUAUAUUCAUGACCCAGAGUGUGUAGCAACAACUGGAGAUAUUACAGUUUCAGUGUCCACAUCAUUUCUGCCAGAACUCAGCUCUGUCCACCCACCACACUAUUUCUUCACAUACCGAAUCAGGAUUGAAAUGUCAAGGGAAGCACUUCCGGAAAAGGCCUGUCAGUUGGACAGUCGCUACUGGAGGAUAACAAAUGCUAAAGGGGAUGUGGAAGAAGUUCAAGGACCUGGCGUAGUUGGUGAAUUUCCAAUUAUUAGCCCAGGUCGGAUAUAUGAAUACACAAGCUGUACCACAUUUUCUACAACAUCAGGCUAUAUGGAAGGGUAUUACACCUUCCAUUUUCUGUACUUUAAGGACAAGGUCUUUAAUGUUGCCAUCCCCCGAUUCCACAUGGCAUGUCCAACAUUCAGGGUGUCUAUAGCCCGAUUGCCUCCCAAGUGCUAGAUGUGUGCCACCAUGCCUACACCAGACCAGACUUCCAUUUUUGGUUAGCCCAGAAUCUGUAUGAGCUUGGUACCAUCUUAUCCUUAAAUGGUUGAUAUUCAUCAGUGAAGCUGUCUGGGACUGGAAUUUGCUCUGUGGGGAAUUUUAAAACAUGGACUUAAUUUCUUUAAUAUGUAUAUUUUCUAUUUCUUCUUUCAGUUUUGGUAAUUUGUGCCUUUCAAAGAAUUUGUUCAUUUCAUCUAAAUGUUGAAUUUAUUUGUAUAAGGUUAUUCACAAUAUUACCUUGAUAUCCUUUUAAUGGCUACAAGAGCUGUAGUCAAAUACCCUCUUUUAUUAUUGAUAUCGGUGAUUUAUAUUGAUUAUUCAAAAUGGAACAACAUUUAGUUUUGAUGGGUUUUCUGUACUGUUUGCUUUUUUUCUGUCUCAGUGAUUGGUGCAGUUAUCUUUAUUUCUCUCUUACUUACGUUGGGUUUAAUUCACUUUUAUUGCAGCUUUUAAAGGUAGAAGUUUAGAUAAUUGAUUGUAGACCUUUCCUGUUUCUAAGCACUGUUUUAGUUGUAUUGCACAAAUUUUGAUGUUAUAUUUUGGUUACUAUUUAGUUCAAAAUAUUCUCAGAUUUCCCUUGUAACUGACUUACAACUGCAUAGAAAUGUUAAUUUUCAAGUAUUUGGAAAACUUUCAUUUGUCUUAUUGCUUAUUGAUUUCUAAUAUUACUGUGGUUAGAGAACUUACUGUGUAUUGCUAAUGUUUUUUAAUGUUUUAUGGCCCAAAAUUAUGUGAAGAAUUUCUUUAUCUUGGUAAAUGACCUUGUGUAUGUCAUUUGAAAAGAAUGUAUAUUGUGCCAUGUGAGAAUUUACUCUAUAAAUGACAGGCCGAACUGGUUGGUUGAUUGACAGUGUUGUCAGUCAUCUGUAUAUUUCUUGCUCUUUUUCCUAUUUGUUGCUUCAGCCGUUGAAGAGAUUGUUGAAAUACUCAGUUCAUGUUAUGGCUUUGUCCAUUGCUUCAUUCUUGUCAGAUUCGCUCCUGCCUUUUGAAGUUAUGUAAUUGUGUGCCAGUGCUUAGGAUUGUUGUCUGUUUAUGGAAGUGGUUCUUUGAUUAUCAUCUCCAGUAACUUCCUGUCCUAAAGAGCAUUGAGGAAAUGGGUCCUGAUGAAUAUGAAGAGAUGGAGGAGGAAGCUGAGGAAGAGGAAGAAGAAAAUGACUCAGCAGACAUGGACGAAUCAGAAGAAUCAGAUGAGGAUGAGA
This is an RNA transcript of Peromyscus eremicus (cactus mouse), 2555 nucleotides long. It is a transcript of the gene named F-box protein 3, with no coding region annotated. NCBI's taxonomy places the organism in Eukaryota, Metazoa, Chordata, Mammalia, Rodentia, Cricetidae. The record is from RefSeq and is a predicted model, not a curated record. The transcript is spliced from 12 exons.